AAACCUCUUUGUGCUGCAACAUGUAUUUCUACUGGUAGUCACCAGACACAGACCCUUUCUGCCUCUCCCUGUACACACCAAAGAGCUAAAACUACAGACUGCAUUGUAUGAAGGAGGACUGCUGCCUACCUUAGGUCUAUGCAAAUCCCACCUCCUGGGCAGUAUUUUAAAACCAGAAGCUGAAGCUGGCAGUCUUCUAUCAGACCUUACAAUC
This 214-nucleotide long non-coding RNA is filed under the name Cairina moschata (Muscovy duck). RNAcentral describes it as "domestica (muscovy Duck (domestic type)) lncRNA (ENSCMMG00000014623.1)". Lineage: Eukaryota; Metazoa; Chordata; Aves; Anseriformes; Anatidae. The record is from RNAcentral.